CAUCCGUAUUAACACGCAAACAAACUGUAUUUGGAGGCCUUUUAAUAUAUUUAGUUGUGUUUUCGCAAUUUAACACGCUGUCACAAAUCCCAAUAUUGAUACGAUGUCAAAACGACGUUUUGUUUGUAUUUGUGUGCUUACAUUCGUGUGUUUGCAAAGCGCCAAUGAAGCAUGGGCGUGGUUAUAAGAAAAUUAAAUGGAUGAUUUGCCUCAUCGCAAUAAAAUUCCGAUAUCGCCUGGUCACUGUUACAAAAACUCAUUUAUGAUUAUGAAUUGGAAAGUUCUACUAGCGUACGUAAAUAUAUAGCAAACAAACUGCUAAGUCUCAACGCUUUUAUACCGCAAUGGCUAUAUUAUGACUACACGUUAUGAAAUUUACUAUAAAACGUUUUAUGUCAUUUAUUAAAAACAUUCAUACCAACAGUUGGCGCAUCGUUCUGAGCUGUUGUAUUUGUUCGUCAAACAUAAUCCCUUAAUUGAAGCUGCCGAAUUAUCACAUGCUCUGUUGGAAGCUGGAAGCUAAUAUUAUAGGCCAGGAAAUUGUGUCAGCCAGUGAAUACAUUAGAUCUUUUGUUGCACAGAUUGAAAUUGAGUGCUAAUUCAGAUAUCGAGUAUAAGCAGGAGUGCUCACAGAUUUAGAGGACGUCAUACAUACCUCCAUAUUUCGAUACCGCACAGCGCACAGCAGAGGAUAAAAUCAAAUGGAUUAAAUAA
Molecule: long non-coding RNA, 714 nt
Organism: Anastrepha ludens (Mexican fruit fly)
Lineage: Eukaryota; Metazoa; Arthropoda; Insecta; Diptera; Tephritidae
Exons: 3
Source: RefSeq, a predicted model, not a curated record